AACGUAGGAGGCAAGCGUUAUCCGGAUUUAUUGGGCGUAAAGCGCGUGCAGGCGGUUUGAUAAGUUGGAUGUGAAAUCUCCCGGCUCAACUGGGAGCGGUCAUUCAAAACUAUCAGACUAGAGGAUGGGAGAGGGAGGUGGAAUUCCGGGUGUAGUGGUGAAAUACGUAGAUAUCCGGAGGAACACCAGUGGCGAAGGCGGCCUCCUGGACCAUUCCUGACGCUAAGACGCGAAAGCUAGGGGAGCAAACGGGAUUAGAGACCCCGGUAGUCCUAGCCGUAAACGAUGUAGACUUGGCGUUGGCGGAGUUAAAUCUGUCAGUGCCGGAGCUAACGCGUGAAGUCUACCGCCUGGGGACUACGACCGCAAGGUUAAA
Molecule: ribosomal RNA, 376 nt
Filed under: uncultured bacterium
Lineage: Bacteria
Description: bacterial SSU rRNA
Rfam family: Bacterial small subunit ribosomal RNA
Source: RNAcentral